UGGGGAAUAUUGCACAAUGGGCGAAAGCCUGAUGCAGCAACGCCGCGUGAGGGACGACGGCCUUCGGGUUGUAAACCUCUUUUAGCAAGGAAGAAGCGAAAGUGACGGUACUUGCAGAAAAAGCGCCGGCUAACUACGUGCCAGCAGCCGCGGUAAUACGUAGGGCGCAAGCGUUAUCCNGGAAUUAUUGGGCGUAAAGAGCUCGUAGGCGGUUUGUCGCGUCUGCUGUGAAAAACCCGAGGCUCAACCUCGGGCCUGCAGUGGGUACGGGCAGACUAGAGUGCGGUAGGGGAGAUUGGAACUCCUGGUGUAGCGGUGGAAUGCGCAGAUAUCAGGAAGAACACCGAUGGCGAAGGCAGAUCUCUGGGCCGUAACUGACGCUGAGGAGCGAAAAGGGUGGGGAGCAAACAGGCUUAGAUACCCUGGUAGUCCACCCCCGUAAACGUUGGGAACUAGUUGUGGGGUCCAUUCCACGGAUUCCGUGACGCAGCUAACGCAUUAAGUUCCCCGCCUGGGGAGUACGGCCGCAAGGCUAAAACUUAAAUGAAUUGACGGGGUCAUAGCUGUUUCCU
This 572-nucleotide ribosomal RNA is filed under the name uncultured bacterium. RNAcentral's name for it is "partial 16S ribosomal RNA". It matches the Rfam family "Bacterial small subunit ribosomal RNA", at positions 355 to 1375 of the family's 1533-position model. The record is from RNAcentral.